GAUGAAGAACGCAGCGAAAUGCGAUACGUAAUGUGAAUUGCAGAAUUCAGUGAAUCAUCGAGUCUUUGAACGCACAUUGCGCCCCCUGGUAUUCCGGGGGGCAUGCCUGUCCGAGCGUCAUUGCUGCCCUCAAGCACGGCUUGUGUGUUGGGCCUCCGUCCUCCUCCCGGGGGACGGGCCCGAAAGGCAGCGGCGGCACCGCGUCCGGUCCUCGAGCGUAUGGGGCUUCGUCACCCGCUUUUGUAGGCCCGGCCGGCGCUUGCCGACACAUCAAUCUUUUUUCCAGGUUGACCUCGGAUCAGGUAGGGAUACCCGCUGAACUUAAGCAUAUCAAUAAGCGGAGGA
RNAcentral lists this unclassified non-coding RNA (345 nucleotides) under soil metagenome. Its description in RNAcentral is "partial contains 5.8S ribosomal RNA, internal transcribed spacer 2, and large subunit ribosomal RNA". The stretch from base 1 to 120 matches the Rfam family "5.8S ribosomal RNA", at positions 35 to 154 of the family's 154-position model. The record is from RNAcentral.